Molecule: ribosomal RNA, 694 nt
Filed under: uncultured bacterium
Lineage: Bacteria
Description: bacterial SSU rRNA
Rfam family: Bacterial small subunit ribosomal RNA
Source: RNAcentral
GGGAUACCGAUUGGAAACGAUCGUUAAUACCGCAUAAUAUAAUUGAACCGCAUGAUUUGAUUAUCAAAGAUUUAUCGCUGAAAGAUGAGCUCGCGUCUGAUUAGCUAGUUGGUAAGGUAACGGCUUACCAAGGCGACGAUCAGUAGCCGGACUGAGAGGUUGAUCGGCCACAUUGGGACUGAGACACGGCCCAGACUCCUACGGGAGGCAGCAGUGGGGAAUAUUGCACAAUGGAGGAAACUCUGAUGCAGCGAUGCCGCGUGAGGGAAGAAGGUUUUAGGAUUGUAAACCUCUGUCUUCAGGGACGAAAAAAGACGGUACCUGAGGAGGAAGCUCCGGCUAACUACGUGCCAGCAGCCGCGGUAAUACGUAGGGAGCGAGCGUUGUCCGGAAUUACUGGGUGUAAAGGGAGCGUAGGCGGGAUCGCAAGUCAGAUGUGAAAACUAUGGGCUUAACCCAUAAACUGCAUUUGAAACUGUGGUUCUUGAGUGAAGUAGAGGUAAGCGGAAUUCCUAGUGUAGCGGUGAAAUGCGUAGAUAUUAGGAGGAACAUCAGUGGCGAAGGCGGCUUACUGGGCUUUAACUGACGCUGAGGCUCGAAAGCGUGGGGAGCAAACAGGAUUAGAUACCCUGGUAGUCCACGCCGUAAACGAUGAUUACUAGGUGUGGGGGGACUGACCCCUUCCGUGCCGCAG